UACAGAGGGUGCGAACGUUGCUCGGAAUUACUGGGCGUAAAGCGCAUGUAGGCGGAUCCAUAAGUCGGGCGUGAAAUCCCCAGGCUCAACCUGGGAACUGCGCUCGAAACUGUGGGUCUUGAGUGUCGGAGAGGAUGGCGGAAUUCCUGGUGUAGAGGUGAAAUUCGUAGAUAUCAGGAGGAACACCGGUGGCGAAGGCGGCCAUCUGGACGACAACUGACGCUGAGAUGCGAAAGCGUGGGGAGCAAACAGG
This 253-nucleotide ribosomal RNA is filed under the name uncultured bacterium. RNAcentral describes it as "partial 16S ribosomal RNA". It matches the Rfam family "Bacterial small subunit ribosomal RNA", at positions 524 to 776 of the family's 1533-position model. The record is from RNAcentral.